UAUUUCCCAGACUACCUGAAUCCCCCAGACAGAAGGAUUUAUCCUCGCAGAUGUUUGGAAGUUUGUCACUUGAUGGCUCUCAGCUCUCAUCCCUCGUCAGGAAUUGCCUCAGGCCAGGGUCGAAUCCCCUUUCCCAGGCAGCCUGUAUCCAAUUACUGAUCAAUGAAGAGUGUAAAGGCCAAGCCCUGGCUGCUCAACUUAGGACAACUCUGAAGGGUCAUUCCAGCUGCAGAAACCCUCAAGGAGUGGGCUGAUGCCUUUUCAUGCUUGCACUGCAGCCCAAUUUUACCAUCUGAUAAAUCCUGCUUUUCUUCUUUGGCCCCCAGUUGUCGAUCCUGAGGUAAUGCCCUACUGAACCUUCUGAAUACAAAUCUCCAUCUUAGCUUCUGCUUUCCAGGGAACUCAGCCUGCAAUUGUUGGUACUAAAAAUGAUCUGAGAAAGAAGAUGCUAAGAUGAGAUUUUUGAAGCUGAAUUACCGACCACCUGGUUGAUAAUAAGGGGAUGGGUGGAGCUCAAACAGUCACUGGCUCAAAGUAGCAGAGCAAUUGUUAAAACUUUCACCAAACCUGAACUGACUGGUGUGGUGUACUAGAGGAAAGAUAUGCACUAACAGAUACGAUGUAUUAGGUUUUUGAGAAACAUGGGGGAAUGGUAAUUAUAAGGCAAUACAAUUGGAUGUCAUUGCUAGAGGAAAUUGAUGCUUUGGAAAGAGACAAUGAAAGGCUGAAGAUAAUAUAUCAUUAAAUAAAGGUUAAGUGUGAAAAGAGUAUCUCCAUGGGAUUGUAUAAAGACCCUCUCAUAUCCUGCAACCCAAGGGUACAGAAAGCUAAGGUUUAGACCCAAGACUUAAUAAUAGUAUUAGAAAUUUCCGAAGAAAGUUAAACCCCAGUCUAGUCUUCUAUGCCUGGAGGAAAACAAAGGAGAACACCUGUUAAAGAUGGAGGCACUCUUGCUCUCCUGUAUUUUGCUUGUCUCAACUGUAUUUUGCCUGAAUAUACUGUGUCAGCAAGAUUUUGCAAGGCUUAACCUCAAACCACAGACUUCCUAUUGAGUUAUUUAGGAGAUGGGGAAGUGAUGGGAGGGGUUUGCGGCUGGCUGAAACGUAUAUAAUACCUGCUUUUUCCCAAUAAAUUUGCUUAGUGUGUGCACUAAGCCCCAGAA
Molecule: long non-coding RNA, 1162 nt
Organism: Galeopterus variegatus (Sunda flying lemur)
Lineage: Eukaryota; Metazoa; Chordata; Mammalia; Dermoptera; Cynocephalidae
Exons: 2
Source: RefSeq, a predicted model, not a curated record